UAGUGGCGAACGGGUGAGUAACACGUGGGCAAUCUGCCCUUCACUCUGGGACAAGCCCUGGAAACGGGGUCUAAUACCGGAUAACACUCUGUCCCGCAUGGGACGGGGUUGAAAGCUCCGGCGGUGAAGGAUGAGCCCGCGGCCUAUCAGCUUGUUGGUGGGGUGAUGGCCUACCAAGGCGACGACGGGUAGCCGGCCUGAGAGGGCGACCGGCCACACUGGGACUGAGACACGGCCCAGACUCCUACGGGAGGCAGCAGUGGGGAAUAUUGCACAAUGGGCGAAAGCCUGAUGCAGCGACGCCGCGUGAGGGAUGACGGCCUUCGGGUUGUAAACCUCUUUCAGCAGGGAAGAAGCGAGAGUGACCGGUACCUGCAGAAGAAGCGCCGGCUAACUACGUGCCAGCAGCCGCGGAAAUACGUAGGGCGCAAGCGUUGNCCGGAAUUAUUGGGCGUAAAGAGCUCGUAGGCGGCUUGUUGCGUCGGUUGNGAAAGCCCGGGNCUUAACCCCGGGUCUGCAGUCGAUACGGGCAGGCUAGAGUGGGGUAGGGGGAGAUCGNAAUUCCU
Molecule: ribosomal RNA, 566 nt
Filed under: Streptomyces sp. 316D11
Lineage: Bacteria; Bacillati; Actinomycetota; Actinomycetes; Kitasatosporales; Streptomycetaceae
Description: bacterial SSU rRNA
Rfam family: Bacterial small subunit ribosomal RNA
Source: RNAcentral